UGAUUCAGCGGCGGACGGGUGAGUAAUGCCUAGGAAUCUGCCUGGUAGUGGGGGACAACGUUUCGAAAGGAACGCUAAUACCGCAUACGUCCUACGGGAGAAAGCAGGGGACCUUCGGGCCUUGCGCUAUCAGAUGAGCCUAGGUCGGAUUAGCUUGUUGGUGAGGUAAUGGCUCACCAAGGCGACGAUCCGUAACUGGUCUGAGAGGAUGAUCAGUCACACUGGAACUGAGACACGGUCCAGACUCCUACGGGAGGCAGCAGUGGGGAAUAUUGGACAAUGGGCGAAAGCCUGAUCCAGCCAUGCCGCGUGUGUGAAGAAGGUCUUCGGAUUGUAAAGCACUUUAAGUUGGGAGGAAGGGCAGUAAGCUAAUACCUUGCUGUUUUGACGUUACCGACAGAAUAAGCACCGGCUAACUCUGUGCCAGCAGCCGCGGUAAUACAGAGGGUGCAAGCGUUAAUCGGAAUUACUGGGCGUAAAGCGCGCGUAGGUGGUUUGUUAAGUUGGAUGUGAAAGCCCCGGGCUCAACCUGGGAACUGCAUCCAAAACU
Molecule: ribosomal RNA, 550 nt
Filed under: bacterium BaC1-20
Lineage: Bacteria
Description: bacterial SSU rRNA
Rfam family: Bacterial small subunit ribosomal RNA
Source: RNAcentral